This 394-nucleotide ribosomal RNA is filed under the name uncultured bacterium. Its description in RNAcentral is "bacterial SSU rRNA". It matches the Rfam family "Bacterial small subunit ribosomal RNA", at positions 29 to 416 of the family's 1533-position model. The record is from RNAcentral.
AUUGAACGCUGGCGGCAUGCCUAACACAUGCAAGUCGAACGGCAGCACGGCAGUAGCAAUACUGUGGGUGGCGAGUGGCGGACGGGUGAGGAAUACGUCGGAAUCUGCCCAGUCGUGGGGGAUAACUAGCCGAAGGUUAAGCUAAUACCGCAUACGACCGAGAGGUGAAAGCGGGGGACCGCAAGGCCUCGCGCGAUUGGAUGAGCCGACGUCGGAUUAGCUAGUUGGUGGGGUAAAGGGCCCACCAAGGCGACGAUCCGUAGCUGGUCUGAGAGGAUGAUCAGCCACACUGGAACUGAGACACGGUCCAGACUCCUACGGGAGGCAGCAGUGGGGAAUAUUGGACAAUGGGCGGCAAGCCUGAUCCAGCAAUGCCGCGUGUGUGAAGAAGGCC